CUGCAUUGAAAACUCUCAUGUGUAGGGUUGAUGCUGUGGGGGGUUUGGGAUCCAGCUCAUUCUUUUUCUUCCAAGUCCAUCCUUGGGGUUGGCAGGGAGGGAGGAGAAUGCCCCCUUCCCAAGCCUUUAGUGUGUACUGAGCUUUCUUUUUGAUGCUGACAGGGGAGGGUGGGGACUUGGAUGGUGAGUGAGUUCCCCAUAUCAAACCGUUUGGUGGGCACAAAGCUGAGUGCUUGAUUUUAGGUUUUAUUUUUUUAUGAAUGUCUAGAUCUGUUUCCCCCUGCCCUCCCAGACUUGUGUGGCCAGUUGGAAAUGUCUAGUUUGUGUUCAUCUCUCCCUCAUUUCUGGAGCAGGGGCUGAGACCCCACCACAUCUUCUGUGCUCUGCAUCCACGCCUCUUUUG
Molecule: long non-coding RNA, 403 nt
Filed under: Androctonus crassicauda
Lineage: Eukaryota; Metazoa; Arthropoda; Arachnida; Scorpiones; Buthidae
Source: RNAcentral